UGCAGUCGAGCGGACAGAAGGGAGCUUGCUCCCGGAUGUUAGCGGCGGACGGGUGAGUAACACGUGGGUAACCUGCCUGUAAGACUGGGAUAACUCCGGGAAACCGGAGCUAAUACCGGAUAGUUCCUUGAACCGCAUGGUUCAAGGAUGAAAGACGGUUUCGGCUGUCACUUACAGAUGGACCCGCGGCGCAUUAGCUAGUUGGUGGGGUAAUGGCUCACCAAGGCGACGAUGCGUAGCCGACCUGAGAGGGUGAUCGGCCACACUGGGACUGAGACACGGCCCAGACUCCUACGGGAGGCAGCAGUAGGGAAUCUUCCGCAAUGGACGAAAGUCUGACGGAGCAACGCCGCGUGAGUGAUGAAGGUUUUCGGAUCGUAAAGCUCUGUUGUUAGGGAAGAACAAGUGCGAGAGUAACUGCUCGCACCUUGACGGUACCUAACCAGAAAGCCACGGCUAACUACGUGCCAGCAGCCGCGGUAAUACGUAGGUGGCAAGCGUUGUCCGGAAUUAUUGGGCGUAAAGGGCUCGCAGGCGGUUUCUUAAGUCUGAUGUGAAAGCCCCCGGCUCAACCGGGGAGGGUCAUUGGAAACUGGGAAACUUGAGUGCAGAAGAGGAGAGUGGAAUUCCACGUGUAGCGGUGAAAUGCGUAGAGAUGUGGAGGAACACCAGUGGCGAAGGCGACUCUCUGGUCUGUAACUGACGCUGAGGAGCGAAAGCGUGGGGAGCGAACAGGAUUAGAUACCCUGGUAGUCCACGCCGUAAACGAUGAGUGCUAAGUGUUUAGGGGGUUUCCGCCCCUUAGUGCUGCAGCUAACGCAUUAAGCACUCCGCCUGGGGAGUACGGUCGCAAGACUGAAACUCAAAGGAAUUGACGGGGGCCCGCACAAGCGGUGGAGCAUGNGGUUUAAUUCGAAGCAACGCGANGAACCUUACCAGGUCUUGACAUCCUCUGACACCNUAGAGAUAGGGCUUUCCCUUCGGGGACAGAGUGACAGG
RNAcentral lists this ribosomal RNA (999 nucleotides) under Bacillus zhangzhouensis. RNAcentral describes it as "bacterial SSU rRNA". It matches the Rfam family "Bacterial small subunit ribosomal RNA", at positions 56 to 1038 of the family's 1533-position model. The record is from RNAcentral. Lineage: Bacteria; Bacillati; Bacillota; Bacilli; Caryophanales; Bacillaceae.